AGAGCAGCCUCCGGAACCGGGGCGGGCUGGGGGCUCCCUGGGGAGCUGAGAAUGAGAUUCUUCAGGUCGAUUCUAAAUUACACAGAAGGUGGUUGGACUCCGCGGGCCUCGGAACCACGGGGAGCCACCGUCCCAGAGGUCCCAGCAGAAUGGGGCCUGCAGUUUCUUCUCGGAAGGCCCAGCUGCCUCGAGACCGCAAGGACACUUGGCUGUGAGCAGGACUCCGGGCUCCCACCCUCCAGCGAUGAGCACCCAGAGUAGCCCAGCACGUGGAGGUCAGGGCAGCCGGGAGGCACCUGCUGCUGGCAGAGGAAAGGGGGAUCCCUCGAUGGGCCCCAUGCUCCUCCUGGCCCGGCGGCCGCUGGAGCUGGUGGGCAAAGCCCAGACCUCCAUCUGGAGGCCCAGGCGGGUAGCAAGCAGGUGGUGACAGUAGCCCUGACGUCACAGCAUGGAGCAGGAUCACAUGAACAGCAAAUCCUGGCCCACGGUAGGCACACGCAGGGGUCAGGACGUUGGCCUGCGCCCUUCCCUGGGGGAUGGUGGCUCAGGACCCCAGGCUGGCCUCCCUGCUGGCACCAGAACCCAGGGCCCCCUGGGCACAGGCCUGGGAAGGCUGAAAGAAGGUGUGGCCCAGCACAGUCCAGCAUGGAGAGCCUCAGUGCCUGCCCCCUGGUAGGGUCCCCAGCCCCUACUCCCACACCUUUGCUGGGCAGCAGGUCCCCCCACAGGGGCUCAAAGGCUGACGGCCUUCCCUGAGGGUGCAAGGCUGGUUUCUGCAGAGUCCAGGGUGGGUGCUGGUGGCUUUGGGCAGUGUCUGGCGGCCCUGCGGAUGCCCUGUGGAUACAGCCCAGUGGGCAGCACAGAGCCAGACCCUGCCCUGCCCUGCCCUGCCCUGCCUUGCCCUGCCCUGCCCCGCCCCACCCUGCCCUGCCAUCCCCAGGGUAAGGUCCCACAAGCCAGAUCCUCCCUGCGUGUAGUCACCAGUCAAGGACUGCUCCCCAGCAAUUCCUCCUCGCUAGCGCCACCCUCCCCGUGCUUACACAGCUGCAGCCCCCCGCCGCAAUCCUUCCGGGCCCAGCCUGCCCCAGGACACACUCCCUUAGGAAGGUCUUUGCUACUGAACGGCUCGUUGGCCCUCACGGACCCUCAGGUGCGUGUCCGACAGCCCCUCUGGAGACUCACAGCCCGGCCUCCGUGCCUGGCUCAGAGCCGGAAGAGCUCCGCAGCCUCCGUCAGUCACACCGAGCCCAGCCUGGGGAAGGCCCCAGAAGCAGGAGUGUGCAGCCUCACAGACCGCACCCGGCCCUCCGCUCGGGGCUCUCUGGCCUGCGUGCUCAGAGCAGGAGGAGGUGGCCCAGGCUGUAGCCCCUGCUCAGGAGGCCGUGGAGAACCAGCUGGAGUCCCCACCACGCCCUGAGCGAGGGGGCGGCAGAAGGGAGGCGGCUCUGUCUCCGUGACAUCAGGAGGGCCCGGGGGGCGGAGCAGGAAGACGAGUGACCACGACGCCAGGUAUGGCGCUGAGCACCACGUGCAGGCCUAGCCGGUGACCCUCACAAGCCCUGCAUAAGGUCAGGGUCACGCUCCCAUUUUACAGAUGGGGAAGCCCAGGCACCCGGACCACGCAGGGGGCCUUGUGCAGGACAGGGGUCAUGUCUGGUCCCGUCCAGGUCACCUUACAGGUGAGACGCCCGGGCCCGCAGGUUGAGGCCGGCCAGCCCCCUCCCAACAGACCCCCUUGGUGGCUCUGAGUGAGGGCUGGUCCAGGGACAGGGCCUGAGGGGCACCACUGGGACCCAGCUGGAGGGUGUUCAGGAGCCAUGAGGCUGCAGUCAGGCUGGCCCUGGGAUGCCAGAGGGGAUGCAGCCCCCACCGGGCCCCUCCUGUGGCCACAGCACAGCCCAGCCUGCCCCAGACAGGCUGCCAAGGCCUGGUUCAGGCCAGGGUGCCGGGCUGAGGUCGUGCCCACAUUGCCACCCCUCUGCUCUGUGUGCUCAACUCAAACCCGCCCGGCCCUGCAUGCAAACUUCCAGCUGAGACCCUCUGAGGCCCCUGGCGCUGAAGGAUCAGGGUGCCCCCUGUGUAUGAUUUGAAAUAACAACAGCACUAAGCCAUCGAAUGGGUGAAAGGUCAGAGUUCUGUUCUUUCCCACAGAGACAGCUUGGAUGCCUUUUUUGAAAUAACAAAUAUCAAAUCCUUUCUAAAAUUGUCACACACGGCCCCGCCUGGUUGGUGCCCAAGGACGUGCCCGGCCCACCCCGGCACCCUGCAGUUCCUCCCACCACCGUCUGGCCUGCUGAGCCUGCUGUCCUCGGCCCCCGGGAAGGAGCUCCCUUCCGCUCAGAGGGCUUCAGACCAGCCCGGUCUCCAUCACACCCUCCACGCCGCCUCCUCCCAAGGCAGGCUCUGCCCCUGGACUGUAGAGAAGGCUCCAAAAGGACCGACCCCCCAGGACUGGAGACUCAGGAGAGGGAGCGCUUCCCUGAGUGCCAGUGGACUGGACCCUACCCUGAGCCAGGCCUAGACCAGGGGUCCACCCUGUGUGGCCGGGGAGCAAGAAAGCCAGUGGGGCCAUCGCCUUGGUGCAGGUUCCGUGGGAAAGGGUCCUUUUUCCAACGGGGCGGGAAGAGGUGCCAGGCAGAUGGAAGUCUCGGUUUCCCCAAAGGAGCCAUCGGCCUGUGGCUGGAGGUCCUGCUUCCUUCCCCACCCCAGCUGGCCCUGGAGGUGGAUGGCAGGCCCACCGCAAGCCCUGAGAAGCUGGGCGGCCUGGGUCAGUCCAGAACUCCCCUGACCCGCCUUUCCUGUUGCACGUGGGGACGCCAAAGCCAGGGAGGCUCAGCCCUGUGAGGCCCUGGGUGCUGGACAGAAAGACUCUUGCUCCUCCAGCCACCUCAGUGCUCUCAGCUGGCCAGGGCCAUGUGUCACCCACUGAGCUGGGGAGCCCUUAGGUAGAGACACGGCAGGGUCCACGCAGGUGACACCUGGGUGACAAUUUGAAAAAGGAGGCCUCAGGUAACUGUGGCCUGUGGACCGUGGCUGUGCCCAGCACUCAGCCAUUUGCCUGAUGAAAGACAGUCAGGGAGAGUGCCAGCUGACCGGGUGGGGGCGUGAGCUGAGCAGGGGAGGAGGGGCCCCAUGUGAUGCUCCGUGGGGGGAGGGACCCUCGGCAGAGGGCGUUUGACUCGAGGAGGGGGCGCCAGGCCCCGGCUCAGCUCACCACCCGGCCCAUGUCCAGCAUCCCCCCAAAGCCAGCCUCUGCCCGGGCCGAGGCUGCCCUCCCAGGGGUGGGGAAGCCUUGGCCCCACCUGCUGCCCAGUCUCCCCAGGCUGCUCUCACCACAGUGCCCCAGAUUUUGCUUCUGGAAAUACACUGGCAAUUAAAUCAAAAAGCCCUUAGAGCCGCCCAGAGAGGAAAGGUGAGCGCUUACGCAACAGCUCAUUACCGCGGCUCCCGAGGGCCCAGGAAGAUGCCCGUCCACCAAGGCCACCUGCCCAGGACUCUGCCUGGGGGCAGGAGGAGGGCAGGACACCAGCUGCCUCUGACCUGCAGCCCCUCACGUCCUCACAAGGGAGGAUAUCCCCCUCCCAGGGCCAGCCACGGUUCAACGCGGUGCAUGAGCACAAGGUGCUGGGUGGGGCCAGGGGACACCUGUCUCAGGCUCAAGGCUAAGGAAGGGAGGAACGCUACUGAGCAGAGCUGUGCGGC
Molecule: long non-coding RNA, 3702 nt
Organism: Homo sapiens (human)
Lineage: Eukaryota; Metazoa; Chordata; Mammalia; Primates; Hominidae
Exons: 3
Source: RefSeq, a predicted model, not a curated record